Molecule: long non-coding RNA, 3857 nt
Filed under: Sus scrofa (pig)
Lineage: Eukaryota; Metazoa; Chordata; Mammalia; Artiodactyla; Suidae
Description: lncRNA (ENSSSCG00005031103.1)
Source: RNAcentral
CCAUAUAGGUUAUUAUAGGCUCUUGAGUAGGUUUCCCCGUGCUCUACGGUAGGUCCUUGUUAGUUUUCUAUUUCAUACACAGUAAUGUGUGUGUGUUAUUCCCAUUCUCCUGAUUAUUAUUCUUUUUGUGUGUAAAACACAUAAUACCGUCCAUAAAAAAAUACACCAGGAGUUCCCGUCGUGGCGCAGUGGUUAACGAAUCCGACUAGGAACCAUGAGGUUGCGGGUUCGGUCCCUGCCCUUGCUCAGUGGGUUAACGAUCCGGCGUUGCCGUGAGCUGUGGUGUAGGUUGCAGACGCGGCUCGGAUCCCGCGUUGCUGUGGCUCUGGCGUAGGCUGGUAGCUACAGCUCCGAUUCAACCCCUAGCCUGGGAACCUCCAUAUGCCAAGGGAGCGGCCCAAGAAAUAGCAACAACAACAAAAGACAAAAGACAAAAAAAAAAAAAAAAAAUACGCCAUAUAAAAUUUCAUCAUGGGGGAGGUGAAAAAUAUAUCUAAAAAUGCUUGAUUUUAGGGUGCAGAUAAUAGAAAGAGGUUAAGAAUAUGUAAGAAACUGCUUUUUUUUUUUUUAUCACGUUUGCUUCUUCUUUGACAGUCGUUACUUUGUAUCAUCCUAUGAUUCUGUUACAAGGUGGAAAACCAUGGCUCUGAAACCCAGCCUCUGGCACAGGGCUCGCACGUACUGGCAUUCGCUGUUUAUUUACUUGAAUGAACAGAUGACGAUUGAGAUGUUUGCUUCGAAGCAUGGCUGCUCCACACUGGAAACUCCUGUAAAAACCGUUCUUAAUACAACUUCCAGGAUCGCACCCCACAUCUGGAGUAGGACGUGGAAACAGGCAUUUCAAAGCACUACCCAUUUUAUGAUUGGAUUUCCCAACUCUCGCUCCCCCAGUCGAGGAAUCCCUUUCCUUUUCUUGUGGAGACAUCUGCAUUCAUAAAAACACAACCCCAAAGAGGUGGUACAGUCAUCUGUUGUUGUAUCCUGUUCUGAUCAGACCACAGAGCACUGGUUUCCGUUCGAGGUGCCAUUUCCUGGGGGAGGGCGGGGGGAGUGUCGCCAGGCACCAGCAUUUCCAGAGAAGUUCAGGGGUGCCCGCUUCUCUCCUGGGUGAGGAUCUCAGGCUGCGGGCUUCUGUGAAUGUGGCGGGCAGUGUGGGCUGGCCCAGUAGCAGGACAGGGAUUCUUUCACCAGCCUCUGAGCAAUAUGGCCAGACGCGGAAGGCUAGAUGGCUUGGGGACCCCGUGAACUCUAGGGUGCUUGUUGGUGGGAGUGCAGGUGAUUUUUAGCGGCAGGCCCUGAGCUCUUGCUUUAGUCCUGUCUGGGGAAGAAGUGUUCCAGUAAUUUGAAUGGGACAAUGGGAGCCACACUUACCAAAUCUAUGGACGAUACCCUCUAAGAGGAAUAUCAAAUGCAUAGAACAGCAGGUCUCUAACAACCAUCCAGGAGGUCAGAACCAAGCUGCAGCUCCAAUUCGGCCCCUAGCCUGGGAACUUCCAUAUCCCAUGCGUGUGGCCCUAAAAAGAAAAAGGUCACGCCACUUCCGUUACGGUGAAAGGAGUAUCAGAGAUAACACAAGUGACCUACGUAUGUGAUUCCCAGACAUCAGUAUAAUGCCAUGAAUGUAACAGAAAAAGAAAAGUCGUUUUAGAACAAAAGGACCAUAGGAGAUAUAUUGUAGAACGAUUGGUUCUUCCAUCUUCCUUGUUUUGAAAAUAUGAAUUCGUGCCAGUGUGGCUGCUGUCUUUGAGUGUUUGUGUUUACUCAUGUGUGGUUUUGUCCACGAGAAACACAGGUGAACACAGAAUACCUCACGCAAGUGACUUCUGCCCAUAGGUUACGCAAAACGCCAGUGUGCACGCAAUUGAGACAUCAGCCAGCCCCCUCAGGUCACCUUGAGGUAGAAGCCACGUGGACCCAAAUCUGGCACAGCUUGCCUCCACGUCACAGUAACACAAGCUGCAGCCCUUCCGCUGCCCAGCCUUGUGCAGGCAAACCUCAGGUCUUUUCCAAGGUGACGCGGCCCUUCUCUUGUAAGACUUGUGUAUCCCUUGGCCUGUGUAACAUUUCCCAUGUGUAAAACUAUGCCACCUUUUUUAUUAGGUUCUUUUUAACAUGCGUCGAGGUUGAAGGUUUUUUUUUUUUCUUUCGGUUUUUAAAGUUUUCUCGAAGUAUAUGGAUUUACAGUGUCGUGGUAAUUUCUGUUGUACUCCAGGCAGAUCCGGCUACACAUGUACACACAUCCAUUCUUCUUCAGAUUCUUUGCCCAUGUAGGUUAUCGCAGAAUAUUGGGUAGAGUUCCCUGUGCUAUACAGCAGGUCCCCGUUGGCCAAUCGUUUCAUAUUCCACCGUGUGCAUGUGUCCUAAACCCCAGUCCAUCCCUCCCCUGACCUGUCCCCUUUGGGAGCCACAAGUUUUGUUUUCAAAGAUUUGAGUCUUGUGGUCCUCAUUCCAUUUUCCCCACAGGCCCUUUUUUGUUGUGUUUUGUUUUUGUUUUGCUUUCUAGGGCCUCACCCACGGCAUAUGGAAGUUCCCAGGCUAGGGCUCAAAUUGGAGCUGCAGCUACUGGCCACAGCCACAGCACUGCAGGAUCCAAGCUGCGCCUGUGACCUACACCACAGCUCACAGCAACGCCGGAUCCUUAACCUACCGAGCGAGGCCAGGGGUCAAACCCACAUCCUCGUGAAUACUGGUCGAAUUCGUUACUGCUGACCCACAGCAGAAACUCCCAGUCCUGUGUUUUUUUUAUCAUGUGAUUUUGUGCAGUGAGGUGACUCGUUAGGAAUGCAUAUAUUGUGUUCUGUCAGAACGAACUGUACUCAGAUGCUUGUCCCCGAUGCAGUGAGUUAGUUUGGAUUUUAUAGAUGUAAAACAAUCUUCAACUGAAUAGUGUUGAUACUUUUUCUUUCUAUUGGACAUUUUGAAAGAAGGGUGAGAUAAGUAUAUUAGCACUUAGGCAUAGAAUUGCCUUCAAUUCAGAUGCAGCUCAAAGCAUCUGAACUGUGCUGUGACUCACAUACCCAUGGUGACACUGUUACCAAUGAUACGAUUUUCUAAAACGGUGAAUAACUUCUGAAGUUUGGAACAAAACAAAGCAUCUCUCUUCUUUGAUUUAUGCAGUAGUUGCUUUCCUGGAAAAUUAGCAUUAACUCCAGGCCAAAAAAUAACUGUAUGCCUGAAGUGGAAUUUGAUUCCGUGUAGAUGGGUAUGAGCAGUUUUUCCUCUGUGGAAAUGGCGUGGGGUAAGUGAAAUAGUUGUCUUCUCCUCUGUAAGACGUGCAAGCCCCUGCCCAGCAAGUGACAGCCCAGAUUGCCCCCACAUGUGUCCACCACCUCUGGUGAACCGCUGGGCUAUUGCAGUGGACUUAGGAUAAGCUAGAAUUAGGGUCAGUGUAAGUUCUUCAUUUAGGCUGAGAAAACACCUGUACAGAAAACAGAAGGGGGAAAAAUGACUUAGCACAAGAAGGGGUGAGAAGAGUGUCAGAUGUUUGUUGACAGUAAGUGAAGUACGGAGAACUGGUUUCAUGUGACCUCCUCUCUGCUGGCUGCUCGGAAGGCGGGCAGUAACUAGACCCUUGCUGUGCAGUAGACAUACAAUGUUAGGCACACAUGUAACUUCACAUUUUCUAGUUGCCACAUUACAAAAAAGACAAAAACAGGAGUUCCCAUCUUGGCGCAGUGGAAGUGAGUCCAACUAGGAACCAUGAGAUUGUAGGUUCAAACCCUGGCCUUCCUCAGUGGGAUCCAGUGUUGCCAUGAGCUGUGGUGUAGGUCCCAGAUGCAGUUCAGAUCUGGCGUUGCUGUGGCUGUGCCUGUGGCCGGUGGCUACAGCUCUGAUUAGACCCCUAGCCUGGGAACCUC